This 435-nucleotide ribosomal RNA is filed under the name Mycobacterium sp. RNAcentral describes it as "bacterial SSU rRNA". It matches the Rfam family "Bacterial small subunit ribosomal RNA", at positions 419 to 864 of the family's 1533-position model. Lineage: Bacteria; Bacillati; Actinomycetota; Actinomycetes; Mycobacteriales; Mycobacteriaceae. The record is from RNAcentral.
AGGGUUGUAAACCUCUUUCGUCACAGACGAAGCGCAAGUGACGGUAUGUGCAGAAUAAGGACCGGCCAACUACGUGCCAGCAGCCGCGGUAAUACGUAGGGUCCGAGCGUUGUCCGGAAUUACUGGGCGUAAAGAGCUCGUANGUGGUUUGUCGCGUUGUUCGUGAAAACUCACAGCUCAACUGUGGGCGUGCGGGCGAUACGGGCAGACUAGAGUACUGCAUGGGAGACUGGAAUUCCUGGUGUAGCGGUGGAAUGCGCAGAUAUCAGGAGGAACACCGGUGGCGAAGGCGGAUCUCUGGGCAGUAACUGACGCUGAUGAACGAAAGCGUGGGGAGCGAACAGGAUUAGAUACCCUGGUAGUCCACGCCGUAAACGGUGGGUACUAGGUGUGGGUUUCCUUCCUUGGGAUCCGUGCCGUAUCUAACGCAUUAAG